CAGUAAGAAAAGAUAACUGGGACACUAAACUUGGGAUUAUAUAGAGAAGAUCAGCACAGUCCCGGCCCAAGGAUGACAUGCAAUUUUGAAAAGCAUUCCAUAUUUUU
Small nuclear RNA from Nannospalax galili (Upper Galilee mountains blind mole rat), 107 nucleotides. NCBI's taxonomy places the organism in Eukaryota, Metazoa, Chordata, Mammalia, Rodentia, Spalacidae. The record is from Ensembl.